RNAcentral lists this ribosomal RNA (303 nucleotides) under uncultured bacterium. RNAcentral's name for it is "partial 16S ribosomal RNA". It matches the Rfam family "Bacterial small subunit ribosomal RNA", at positions 507 to 809 of the family's 1533-position model. The record is from RNAcentral.
AGCAGUCGCCACGGUAAUACGUAGGGUGCGAGCGUUAAUCGGAGUUACUGGGCGUAAAGCGUGCGCAGGCGGUUGUGUAAGACGGGUGUGAAAUCCCCGGGCUUAACCUGGGAACUGCGCUUGUGACUGCACAGCUAGAGUAUGGCAGAGGGGGGUGGAAUUCCACGUGUAGCAGUGAAAUGCGUAGAGAUGUGGAGGAACACCGAUGGCGAAGGCAGCCCCCUGGGCCAAUACUGACGCUCAUGCACGAAAGCGUGGGGAGCAAACAGGAUUAGAUACCCCUGUAGUCCCUGUCUCUUAUAA